AAUUAUUUUGAAUAAAAAAUUGUUACAUCAUCAUUUUAGAUGUACAAUUGGUAAGUUUUUACUUAAUAAACAAGUAAUUUAGAUUGAAGUUUUUAUGAUACAAAUGUCAUUUUGAAGGUUAAAAAUAGUAGUAAAAAAACUUAAAGAUUUAAAAUGUCAAUAAGUGCCACUUUCAUAGUUUCUACGCGACUUUUUCCUAAUAUCAAUAGUGUGAAUGUUAAUAAAACUGAAUGUACUAAUGUGUAUAUUGAUGUGAUCCUAGCCAAGAUCGAACUUUCUAGAUGUAAGAAAAUGGGGAUAAGCCUUGUUGUGCGAAUCAGAGACUCAAGCACACAAGGGUUGUGGAUCGAAUAGUAACAUAAAAGAUGCUCAAGCACAUAAGGGUUGUGGAUCGAAUAGUAACACAAGAGAUGCGGAAAGACUCUUGAUACUGCUAGUUCUCCUCUUUUGGAUAUGACAAACCAAAGAGAUGAAACUUAAGCUGUUGGAUAUUACACACUAACAAAAAACAGUCAAAGAGAAUUCUGGAAAAAGAAGAAAAUGUUUUUUUUAUUGAUACUGGGACAAGGAAAUUCGACCAACAUAUAAAAAGAAAAGCUUGUACAUGCUCAAGCUCUCAAAAAUAGAUAAACAAUAAAUCCUAAAGGCUCCUCUCGAAACACACAGCAAACAGAGUUCAAAAUUCAAAAUAAAGAUAACUUAAAUACGUAGAUAAAUAUUUCUCCUUGCUGGACCUUGAUGGAUUAAUAAAAUAUGAGAUGGAUAAGCAACUUGUGGCUUCGUCAAAAAUCUUUAAAAAUCCAUUGGGACAAAACUAAAGGCAGGAACAAAAUCACACGCAACCUACUUGCCUAUUUGAUGAUCAACUUGAACUUUGAAUGUCUUGAAUGGACAGUACUCCUCCCAUUUCGACCAAUGUAUUCUUCUUGUUUCCAAGCAUUAUUCAAUGUUGCAUCCUCAGCUACAAGAUCAUCAUCUAGUUCAAGCUCAUUCUCAAAUUCUUUAUUUGACCAUUUGGACUUGACCAUGCUCGUAUUAUAUUGUCUUCUAGUUUAUCUUCGGUUGACCAUCUGGACUUGACCACGUUUGUAUUUUCUUCUAGUUUGUCUUCAGUUGACCAUCUGGCCUUGACCACAGCCGCAUUGUUCUUUAUAAGGGAAGCACCUGCAGAGAGGAUGAAAUCGAUGAGCCCCAGAUUGUUUCUAAGAACUGCUUAGAAGCAACUUUAACAAAGCAAGAUCGGACUACUUGUACGGUUGCUUGUUGUCUUUUGGGCAUUGUUUUCUUGAUUUUGCUUGUAUGUUCGAUGAGACAUCAAUACGAAACUGGUGUACUUAGCGUCAGGAUUUGUGAUUCAUGUGGAGAAGGAGAAACACAAAGACUUAUCUGAGUUUGAGCUUAAAGACAUUCCUUGAAACUAGAGAUUUGUAUUUUAAAAGCUUUUCUUCCGUUUUAAUGCUUGUUACUAUUGCUUUUGAAGAUUUUUCUUUUUUUUUUUUGUAUAUUUGCAUGCAUAUGGAAAAUUGGAAUUUUUUUAUUUCUACCAUAAGUUUAAUACUAAUUUUCAAAUUUAUCAUUAAUAAAUGAUUAUUUUCACAAAUAUCCUAAAUUUGUGAUAAAAAUAACACUAAGUUAUUUUUUAAAAUUAUUUAUAGAACAUUUAUAAACUCAAUCUCAACUCCUUAAUAGUAAACCCAAAACGAUAAUCACUAAAGCUUAAACCUAAAUGUUAGUAUUUUUUUUAUUUGUGGUAUUUUUGAAAAAUGGUACUUAACUUGUGGUAUUACUAACAAUUUUUCUAGAAGAUUAUUGUAUUGUUUGGAUUGUAGUUUCUGUUUUAUGAUUUCGAUAAACAACAAUUUAUUUUCGUAAAAACUGUUGUGCAUUAUUAAUAGUACUUAUCAAACAACUAUCAAUGUUGCACCAACUAAAUAAUAACUAAAAUAUAAAAAAAUUAUGUUUAUUAUUAUGUCAGUCUCAUAGAUAACGAAAUUCCUAAGGUUAACAACAUAAUUCAUUUACCAAAAAAUUGAGCAGAAACUUUAAUUACGUAUUGUAUGUAACACCAGCAUCGACAAUGAUUUUGUCAAUCAUUCUCUUUGCUUAAUCUAACAUUCUAUAUUUUCUAUUUUUAGUAUAAAUUUUGUUGAACAAUAUAAAACGCACAUAAACAAAAUGAUUGGAAAACUGUUCAAGACUAUCCGCGCUUAACGUGGACAAAAAUCUAGUGUUAUAAACAUAAAAGUUCUUGACAAAGAUUUUUAUUCUUUAUGUGAUGAAUGUACUAGUUAGAGUACAUAUAAUAUUUUUUAAUCGAAUAAUGUAAUUUUUCUUUCUUUUUUCUUUGGAAUUUUUUUAACGUGUUUUUAGCAACAGAAAGUCACACUUGCAACAUUAGAUAUGCAUCAUAUAUGUACAUAUAUAAACACAAGUAAAUUAAAUAUUUGUACCUCCCCACCUCUGAAGGUUUUUAAAAGCUGCUUAAGGUUCUAUUCCUUAUUUUUUUGCUAAGAAUGUUAAUUAAGAUUCUAAUCCUAUGAUUACUAAUACUAGCUAUGAUAACAAAAAUAAGAAUCAGUGAGUUUUAGAUUUAGAGACAAGAGAGAGAUACAUUACCUUCUUCAUAGGAGAGUCUUUCUUUCUUCUCCCCUCCUGCAUUCCUCAAAUUUUAUCUUCCCAAUAAAACCCAACACAGAAGAAAGUCUAAAAGGGGAUUUUGCGGGAGAUGAAAGUCGGAGCUCCGAGAAAGAUUCGUAGUUGGGUCGUAUUCCAAGUUCUUCUUCUGUAUCUCCUUCCUCAAGCUGUUCAUUCUCAGAGAUCACA
Molecule: long non-coding RNA, 2823 nt
Organism: Brassica napus (rape)
Lineage: Eukaryota; Viridiplantae; Streptophyta; Magnoliopsida; Brassicales; Brassicaceae
Exons: 2
Source: RefSeq, a predicted model, not a curated record